UUGUAUAAUGGGUCAGCGACUUAUAUUCUGUAGCAAGGUUAACCGAAUAGGGGAGCCGGAGGGAAACCGAGUCUUAAUUGGGCGUUAAGUUGCAGGGUAUAGACCCGAAACCCGGUGAUCUAGCCAUGGGCAGGUUGAAGGUUGGGUAACACUAACUGGAGGACCGAACCGACUAAUGUUGAAAAAUUAGCGGAUGACCUGUGGCUGGGGGUGAAAGGCCAAUCAAACCGGGAGAUAGCUGGUUCUCCCCGAAAGCUAUUUAGGUAGCGCCUCGUGAAUUCAUCUCCGGGGGUAGAGCACUGUUUCGGCUAGGGGGCCAUCCCGGCUUACCAACCCGAUGCAAACUGCGAAUACCGGAGAAUGUUAUCACGGGAGACACACGGCGGGUGCUAACGUCCGUCGUGAAGAGGGAAACAACCCAGACCGCCAGCUAAGGUCCCAAAGUCAUGGUUAAGUGGGAAACGAUGUGGGAAGGCCCAGACAGCCAGGAUGUUGGCUUAGAAGCAGCCAUCAUUUAAAGAAAGCGUAAUAGCUCACUGGUCGAGUCGGCCUGCGCGGAAGAUGUAACGGGGCUAAACCAUGCACCGAAGCUGCGGCAGCGA
RNAcentral lists this ribosomal RNA (602 nucleotides) under Salmonella enterica subsp. enterica serovar Infantis. Its description in RNAcentral is "partial 23S ribosomal RNA". It matches the Rfam family "Bacterial large subunit ribosomal RNA", at positions 608 to 1211 of the family's 2925-position model. RNAcentral also lists the same sequence under 1 other name. The record is from RNAcentral. Lineage: Bacteria; Pseudomonadati; Pseudomonadota; Gammaproteobacteria; Enterobacterales; Enterobacteriaceae.